AUACGUAGGGGGCGAGCGUUAUUCGGAAUUACUUUUCUUCCCUCUUGCGCAGGCGGUUGUGUAAGACAGACGUGAAAUCCCCGGGCUCAACCUGGGAACUGCGUUUGUGACUGCACGGCUAGAGUACGGCAGAGGGGGGUGGAAUUCCACGUGUAGCAGUGAAAUGCGUAGAGAUGUGGAGGAACACCGAUGGCGAAGGCAGCCCCCUGGGCCAGUACUGACGCUCAUGCACGAAAGCGUGGGGAGCAAACAGGAUUAGAUACCCUGGUAGUCCACGCCCUAAACGAUGUCAACUAGCUGUUGGUGGGGUUAAACCCAUGAGUAGCGUAGCUAACGCGUGAAGUUGACCGCCUGGGGAGUACGGCCGCAAGGUUAAA
Molecule: ribosomal RNA, 377 nt
Filed under: uncultured bacterium
Lineage: Bacteria
Description: bacterial SSU rRNA
Rfam family: Bacterial small subunit ribosomal RNA
Source: RNAcentral